UCCUGUAUCGAAAGUGACUGUGGCAUGUCUGGUUGCCAGGUCAUUGAUACUACAGGAAGAGAAUGCUGAAAUCUUUCCCGUGUUUGCAGGAUUUGUUCCUGUCAAACCCUGUAUAUUUCAGACA
Small nucleolar RNA from Pygocentrus nattereri (red-bellied piranha), 124 nucleotides. Its record names the gene SNORA71. It matches the Rfam family "Small nucleolar RNA SNORA71". Rfam says of the family: The members of this family belong to the H/ACA class of snoRNAs which bind a number of proteins (including dyskerin, Gar1p and Nop10p) to form snoRNP complexes. Lineage: Eukaryota; Metazoa; Chordata; Actinopteri; Characiformes; Serrasalmidae. The record is from Ensembl.